This is a non-coding RNA of Budorcas taxicolor (takin), 1208 nucleotides long. NCBI's taxonomy places the organism in Eukaryota, Metazoa, Chordata, Mammalia, Artiodactyla, Bovidae. The record is from the annotation of a RefSeq genome assembly.
AUGCCGGGCAGUCGUCAGACCCUGGAAGCAGAUGGUGGCUGGGCUCAGAGGUGCCCCAGGCCUGGGCACCUGAGGUCCUGCUGGACCCUGCAUUCACCAGCCUCCUCUCUCACAGCCUCCACCACACCCCCGAAAGUCUACCCUCUGGCAUCCAGCUGUGGGGACACGUCCAGCUCCACCGUGACCCUGGGCUGCCUGGUCUCCAGCUAUAUGCCUGAGCCGGUGACCGUGACCUGGAACUCGGGUGCCCUGACCAGUGGCGUGCGCACCUUCCCGGCCGUCCUGCAGUCCUCCGGGCUCUACUCUCUCAGCAGUAUGGUGACCGUGCCGGCCAGCACCUCAGGAGCCCAGACCUUCAUCUGCAACGUAGCCCACCCGGCCAGCAGCACCAAGGUGGACAAGCCUGUCACUCCCAAAGGUGAACAGAAACCCUGCCAGUGUCCCAAAUGCCCAGCCACAGAACCUCUGGGAGGACUGUCUGUCUUCAUCUUCCCACCGAAACCCAAGGACACCCUUACAAUCUCUGGAACGCCCGAGGUCACGUGUGUGGUGGUGGACGUGGGCCAGGAUGACCCCGAGGUGCAGUUCUCCUGGUUCGUGGACAACGUGCAGGUGCACACGGCCAGGACAACGCCGAGAGAGGAGCAGUUCAACAGCACCUACCGCGUGGUCAGCGCCCUGUCCAUCCAGCACCAAGACUGGCUGCGGGGAAAGGAGUUCAAGUGCAAGGUCCACAAUGAAGGCCUCCCGGCCCCCAUCGUGAGGACCAUCUCCAGGACCAAAGGGCAGGCCCGGGAGCCGCAGGUGUACGUCCUGGCCCCACCCCGGGAAGAGCUCAGCAAAAGCACGCUCAGCGUCACCUGCCUCAUCACCGGCUUCUACCCAGAAGAGGUAGACGUGGAGUGGCAGAGAGAUGGGCAGCCUGAGUCGGAGGACAAGUACCACACAACCCCGCCCCAGCUGGACGCCGACGGCUCCUACUUCCUGUACAGCAGGCUCAGGGUGAACAAGAGCAGCUGGCAGGAAGGAGAAACCUACACGUGUGCGGUGAUGCAUGAGGCUCUACGGAAUCACUACAAAGAGAAGUCCAUCUCUAAGUCUCCGGGUAAAUGAGCCACACGCCGCUGAUCUAGUGAACGUUCCCUCAUCCACCCGCCCCUCCCCGCCCUCCCCGGGCUCCAGGUCCAGCCAGGACGCCCUAGCCCCUC